CGGACGGGUGAGUAACGCGUGGAUAACCUGCCUCAUACAGGGGGAUAACAGUUAGAAAUGACUGCUAAUACCGCAUAAGCGCACAGGACCGCAUGGUCCGGUGUGAAAAACUCCGGUGGUAUGGGAUGGAUCCGCGUCUGAUUAGCUGGUUGGUGAGGUAACGGCCCACCAAGGCGACGAUCAGUAGCCGACCUGAGAGGGUGGCCGGCCACAUUGGGACUGAGACACGGCCCAAACUCCUACGGGAGGCAGCAG
This 255-nucleotide ribosomal RNA is filed under the name uncultured bacterium. RNAcentral's name for it is "partial 16S ribosomal RNA". It matches the Rfam family "Bacterial small subunit ribosomal RNA", at positions 99 to 354 of the family's 1533-position model. The record is from RNAcentral.